Molecule: ribosomal RNA, 154 nt
Filed under: Clostridium combesii
Lineage: Bacteria; Bacillati; Bacillota; Clostridia; Eubacteriales; Clostridiaceae
Description: partial 23S ribosomal RNA
Rfam family: Bacterial large subunit ribosomal RNA
Source: RNAcentral
AAUUUUAAGGUCAAGCUACAAAGGGCGCAUGGUGAAUGCCUUGGCACUAGGAGCCGAAGAAGGACGCGAUAAGCUGCGAUAAGCCUUGGGUAGCCGCAAAUAGGCUGAGAUCCAGGGAUUUCCGAAUGAGGAAACUCACAUGGGUAACCCCAUG